This is a long non-coding RNA of Petromyzon marinus (sea lamprey), 2447 nucleotides long. RefSeq lists it as uncharacterized. Lineage: Eukaryota; Metazoa; Chordata; Hyperoartia; Petromyzontiformes; Petromyzontidae. The record is from RefSeq and is a predicted model, not a curated record.
GUGACGUCAUUUAUGGACGGCCCCUAAACACGAGCGAGCCACUUCGCCGUUGGUCGACGAAGUUUUCCACAAUUUUGUUUGGGAGAGGCGAUGGGCCAAUCCCCGUAACGGCCCGACCUCUAUGACCUGGAUUUGAACUCGCUCGGUGUUCACUCUUUAUGUUUCCACGGCAUCGAAGAAGGACGCGCGUGGUACAUUGUAAUCCCGGUCGACGAGUAGGAUACACGUGUGGUUGGAAGGAGGUAUUAAUUUGCAUCUGGCCUUUUUGUUUUACACGUAACUUUUAUUCAUGCUAACGGCCAUUCGUUCAGUUAAAUAAGAGUUAAUUUUGAAGACGGGAACAGUUGACUUGUUGUAGAUGCCUUGGUGGGAUUAUGAACGUAAAUAUUCUGCUUCUGAUACAGUAAUGCGAUGCGGGCACGGGGUGAGUAGAGCGCUUGGUCGUUGAGUUAAGAGGGGCGCUUAGGUCACGUGGUUGGAACCAUCAGGCCUACGAGGUUUGUUACGUCACCGGUGACGCGUGUUUAGAAGCAAGCAUUAAGAAACACGCUUUUUAGAGUAUUUGGCAGCUAUACAUUUACACAUGAUAAGCGACUUCGUGGAGCUAUCCUUUUAGUUUUACAAGUAACUUUUAUUCGUGUUAACACCAAUUACUCCAGUUAAAAAAAUACUUUUGAAGACGGGAACAGAUGCCUUAUUGUUGUAGAUGCUUGUGUUGGCUGCUAUACAUUUCCACAUGAUAAGCAACUUGGUUGAGCUAUCAUUUGUGGCCAGGUCACUUCUGAACAAGAGCUACAUAGCUCAGUGGGCCUUACCUGGUAAAAUAAAAUAAAAAUGUGUUUCGUUUUUGGGUGGUGAAGGGGACGUGUUUCAGCAAUGAACCGUUUCAAUGUAUUAAUGUGAACUAUGUAGCUGUGAAGUUUUAUUUUGCGUGCAUUUGAUUCAUUUACAGUAUUUAUGUUUGUUCAUAGUUUUUUGUGUUAAAUAUGUAUUUGGGGGAGCAGUGACGCAGUGGUUUGCUCACCGUGCUAUCAAUUCGGCGACCCCGAGUUCAAUCCCUUGUCACGGCUAACAUCGGUGUCGAGUGAUGUGUAUGCUGAACUUCUUUUGCACCGUACUUAGCCAACCGUGCUAACCAGUCCUUUCCUCCAUCCUUCAACCCUCACUAAACAGUGUGGUAGUAUUGUAUCGUCAUGCAGUCCCCAUUAUUACUGACAUGGCGUAGAGGAGGCCUUCAUCCAGCAGUGGAUGAGAAGGGGCUGUGCGUAAAAAAAAAUUGUUGACUUUUGUUUACAGGAAAAAGGCGAAAAUGGAGUUAAGGAAGUGGUAACGGAGAUCGCGAAGCCCUGUGGCAACGGGGCCAGCAAGGCAGUGAAACCUCUGAAGCCUUUCAUCACUGAGGAAUAUUUCCUCGGGCUGGGUGACUGAGCUGACUUCCACCAGCACAAUGGAGAUGUUAAAAGGAUCCAGUCACCAAGGAUCAGGGCGAGGUGUUUGGCUGCGACCUGGCUCAGCACCUGGGCAACACGGCACACGACGUCUCACAGGUGGUGAAGCUGUGCGCUGAGCACAUUGAGAGGCACGGCAUCGUCAAUGACAUCUACUGCUGCUCCGGGGUCAUCAGCAAUGUCAACAAGUUGCGAGAGAAGUUCAACGCGGGGACGGGGCCCGACCUGAUGGGGGAGGCGCACGACAUUCACUCCAAGAGCUCCCUCCUCAAGCGAUACUUUCGCGAGCUGCCCGACAAAUUCGCCGUAAGCACGCGACCAUCGGCUGCGCAUUAUGGGCAGCUGCACCAUUUGUUCCACAGCGGCUCUUGCCUUUCCCCGCAAAUUGACAUCACAACCUUGGAGGCCGUUGCGAGUUUUUAAAAAAAAUAAUUUCCAAGUGAGGCAGUCUCCCAAGUGUUUGAGGUUUAACCACAGACUAGCGCGCUGCUGCGUUGCGACGCUGCCGUUCGCGUUUCCCAUGGGUGGCGAGCGUUUCGUGCGUCGGCGCAGGGGGUGAUGACGGCCCUGACGGAGGACAAACUCAUCUUGAUACAGGAGGUCACCGAACUACAGGUACAACAACAACAACAGCAGCCACCAUUGGCCAUUGAAGUGGCGGUGACAUUACCAUGGCACCUGUACAAUGCUAGCCAGGUGCACUUUGAGGCCGUUACAUGAAGUGUCGAAGGCUUGCUGCUGGCAGGAGAUCACGGGAGAGACCCAUGUGCCAUGGGUUGACUGAGAUUGCUGGGCAGAUGCACCAGCUGUGCCCCCUACUGUGCCAAUUUGCUGCAUUCUAGCCGCACGACGCUCCCCUCGUUGUUGUUGGAGGGCAAUUGCCUCCAGCUGCCCAGUUACAUCCUUCAUGCACUAGCACACGUGCACCAUCAAUGACAAAGACAAACAUCCCCCGUAUAGCCUUAACAGACUAUAGGGGCAAGUGCUGUUAGCGAGCAC